ACGCACGCUGGCGGCAUGCCUAACACAUGCAAGUCGAACGAGACCUUCGGGUCUAGUGGCGCACGGGUGCGUAACGCGUGGGAACCUGCCCUUAGGUUCGGAAUAACUCCCCGAAAGGGGUGCUAAUACCGGAUAAUGUCUUCGGACCAAAGAUUUAUCGCCUUUGGAUGGGCCCGCGUUGGAUUAGCUAGUUGGUAGGGUAAAAGCCUACCAAGGCGACGAUCCAUAGCUGGUCUGAGAGGAUGAUCAGCCACACUGGGACUGAGACACGGCCCAGGCUCCUACGGGAGGCAGCAGUGGGGAAUAUUGGACAAUGGGCGAAAGCCUGAUCCAGCAAUGCCGCGUGAGUGAUGAAGGCCUUAGGGUUGUAAAGCUCUUUUACCCGGGAUGAUAAUGACAGUACCGGGAGAAUAAGCUCCGGCUAACUCCGUG
This 432-nucleotide ribosomal RNA is filed under the name uncultured bacterium. RNAcentral's name for it is "partial 16S ribosomal RNA". It matches the Rfam family "Bacterial small subunit ribosomal RNA", at positions 29 to 507 of the family's 1533-position model. The record is from RNAcentral.